CAAUAACAAGGGAUGGUGCCAUCAGGAUAUAUGCAGUUUCCCCGAGGUCCCACAUGGUGUGCGGGGGGACCGGUCGCUGUUGGUUACCUGGUACUUCAAGGAUGGGAAAGUGGCUGAGCUAGACGGCAUCCCCAUCAGCACCCGGGCGGGUGCCAUCCUGUUCUCCCAGCAGCAGGGCCAUACUCAGGCCUCGUUCCUCCUGCGUGGUGUCACCGUGGCUGACGGGGGCCUCUACCGCUGCUAUGUGCGCCAAUCCAGGCAGCAUGGGGAGGGGACGGUCCAAGUGCAAGUUGCAGCACUGCCGCAUCCUGUGGUGCCCAGCACUGUGGUGGAGAUGCACAAGGACAGUGCCCUGGUUUGCUGCGUGCGAGGGUUUUAUCCCCAGCACAUCACAGUGUCCUGGCUCCGGAAUGGUCAGGAUCUAAAUGCCUCCUUCAUCUCAGACACGCGUCAGGAUGAGACGUUCAGCCUGGUGGCUGUCUACAGGUUCACCCCCAUGGCACAAGACCUGGGGGCUACCUUCUCUUGCCGGGCCAGGCACCCUCUGCUCAACCAAUCUCGCCAGGCUGAUUUCCAAAUCUCUUUCCCAGCCAGCAGCCUGUCGAUGGGGCUCUGGAUCCUGCUGUGGAUGCUGCGUGUGGCCCUGCUGCUGACGAUGGCCGGAGGGGCCUGGCUCUAUUUUGACACAGGCAGCCGGCCGAGGAAGGUGAGGGCUGAGGCAGAGUCUGCCU
Molecule: long non-coding RNA, 731 nt
Filed under: Pelusios castaneus (West African mud turtle)
Lineage: Eukaryota; Metazoa; Chordata; Testudines; Pelomedusidae
Description: lncRNA (ENSPCEG00000013403.1)
Source: RNAcentral